GAUGAACGCUAGCUACAGGCUUAACACAUGCAAGUCGAGGGGUAACGAGAGGGAAGCUUGCUUUCCUUGUCGACGACCGGCGCACGGGUGAGUAACGCGUAUCCAACCUGCCCCCAACUAGGGAAUAACCUUGCGAAAGUAAGACUAAUACCCUAUAAUUUCCUCAGAUGUCAUCUGACGAGGAAUAAAGAUUUAUCGGUUGUGGAUGGGGAUGCGUCUGAUUAGCUUGUUGGCGGGGUAACGGCCCACCAAGGCAACGAUCAGUAGGGGUUCUGAGAGGAAGGGCCCCCACAUUGGAACUGAGACACGGUCCAAACUCCUACGGGAGGCAGCAGUGAGGAAUAUUGGUCAAUGGGCGGAAGCCUGAACCAGCCAAGUAGCGUGCAGGAUGACGGCCCUAUGGGUUGUAAACUGCUUUUAUACAGGAAUAAAGUUAGCCACGUGUGGUUAUUUGUAGGUACUGUAUGAAUAAGGACCGGCUAAUUCCGUGCCAGCCGCCGCCGCAG
This 506-nucleotide ribosomal RNA is filed under the name uncultured bacterium. RNAcentral's name for it is "partial 16S ribosomal RNA". It matches the Rfam family "Bacterial small subunit ribosomal RNA", at positions 28 to 523 of the family's 1533-position model. The record is from RNAcentral.